ACACUGAUGGUUCAGUGGUAGAAUUCUCACCUUCCACGAGGGAGACCUGGGUUCAAUUCCCAGCCAACGCA
Molecule: transfer RNA, 71 nt
Filed under: Loxodonta africana (African savanna elephant)
Lineage: Eukaryota; Metazoa; Chordata; Mammalia; Proboscidea; Elephantidae
Rfam family: tRNA
About the family: Transfer RNA (tRNA) molecules are approximately 80 nucleotides in length. Their secondary structure includes four short double-helical elements and three loops (D, anti-codon, and T loops).
Source: Rfam by way of RNAcentral